Long non-coding RNA from Peromyscus californicus insignis, 4147 nucleotides. RefSeq lists it as uncharacterized. The transcript is spliced from 3 exons. The record is from RefSeq and is a predicted model, not a curated record. NCBI's taxonomy places the organism in Eukaryota, Metazoa, Chordata, Mammalia, Rodentia, Cricetidae.
AGAAGGAGGUUGACUGUGGGUCUCAAAGGCGCUUCCUGUGAGGAGAACUGAUGCUGAGGCCUGUUUUCAGAUGGUGUGGAUCAUACAGGACAGAGUCAGGCCUGCGAGAAAAGGGGUCGAGUAUGAAGGAGGAUGAAGACCUUGAAGAUGACUUAGUCCAGACUCUGUAUGUGGUCUAUGAUCUCCUUCUGGUCCCAUAAGAUCCUUUUGUGCUCUGGACAGUGUUCAGCUCUUGAUAGCCAACAUUACAGCUUCAACAACCAGUUGUUUUUUCUAAUUGUUUUAUUUGUUAGGUCUAUCUCUUAGUGAGCUCCCUGACAACUGAACUGUGCCAUCUUGAGAUUCUGUUAUAGAACCUGGGAUCAUGAAUGAUGGAAUAAGAUGAGCAACUAGCAAUAGCUUCCUUGUAAUGCCUCUGCUUUCCACAGCUUCUGAGGAAGAAGACAGACAUAUAUCUGUACAGAACCCACACUCCCAAGGGAUGCCCACUGUUACUGGAUGAGGCAGGGCCAUGGUACAGGACCUCCAUCUUUUUCUUAUGUGUACCAUCUGCCACCUGCCAGACUGGCUUUCAGAUCACCAUGUUCACUGGUUCAUUUUGGACCAGUACUGACUUUUGGACCUCCAGACCAAACUUGCAACUGUGAACAUGAUUGCAGCCGUUCUUCUGGACUCUGACCUUGGAUUUGUUUUCUGGACUGACAGGGCACACGUACUCUACAAAUUAGCCAGUGUUCUAACCCUCCUCAUCCCAUGUCAGGACUCUUCAAAUGCUGAUCCAGAAUCUGCUGAAAUUAGAGCAAACUGUGAAAACGGUGAGGAGGGAGUGAAGACUCAUUCAGGUCUUGACCUGGGCCCAUUGAAGUGGAAUGCUAGCAUUGUCUGACUACAAAACUUUGACAAGCAUGCCUCAAGAAGUCUGUCCUCCAGUACACCAGAAAAGCAGGGCUCUUCAUCAUGAAGAUCUUGGGUCAUUCAGGCUCAUUUGGCAUCCAGCAGAGAGGAGUCAAACCCAGCCUUUCGCAUACCAGGACCACUGAGCUCCACCAUCAGCCAGUCAGCAGUGGUUUAAAAGUCAACUAGACUGGAGGCUGGUGAGAUGCCUUCUGAGUGGAUAUAAAGAAGAGAAGAAGGGCAAAGACCAGGUAUCCUGUCACUCUAGAUGGAGGGGGACAGAGAAACCAGCAAAGGCAGGGGGAGUGAGAAGAGAAGAAUCAGACAGAGAAGUGGUCAUCUCUGAGCCUGGCUCAUAGGGCUCAUUUAUCUUUGACGCUUAGUGGAAUGGAAUGGAUCAAAACCACCAAAUCAGUGCAGAGCAUAGCUCAUCAGUCUGCACAGUUCCCUUUUUAGCCCUCCCUGGAAUUUUCUGCACAUUUCUACUCUGUGGGCAUGCCAAUCAGGUUCUGAUUAUAAGGAACCAUGCCAUUAAAGUUUAGGAUUGUAGAAGUUACUUCCAGGUUUUGAAAUUAAAACCCUCACUUUUGGAUAGCACUGUAGAGCAUUUAAUUAGGAAGAUGUCCCUUAGAGAAUGUUGAAAUUGACUCUCUCUAUUUAAGGUCUGGGUCAACACAGAGGCCUGGGUCAGGAGGUGACUUAUAUAGGUGGCAUUUCAUCUACCUAAGUGUACCUGGUGGAUGAGAAUCCAUAUUUUGCAAAAAGCAAAGGGAAUUAAAUCUAUUUCUAUCAGUUCCUGAGAAUCCUUAUUUUGGAGAUGUCAAAUCUCUUCAUAAAUGAAGAUAUUUUAGAUGGUACUUUUAAUUUUCUUUUUGCUAUGACUAAUACUUGAUUAGAGGUAACUUAAGGGAGAAAGAUUUUUUUGGCUUAUAAUUUGAGAGGAAGUCCAUAAUAGGAGGGAAAACAUAGUAGCAGGCAUGUGAGGCAGCUGGUUAUACUUCAUCCACAAUCAGCAAAUAGAAUGGAUAGGAAGUGGGGCUGGUCGACAGUCUCAAGCCACCCAUCCCUGUCUCCUCCUGCAAGGCUCUGCCUCUGGAAGGUUUUACAGUCUUCCAAAAUAGCGCCCCCAGCUGGGGGCCAAUUGUUCAAACAUAUGAGCCUGUGGGGGAACUUUUCACAUUCAAACCACGACAGAUGAUAAAGUAAGCUAAUUUUUCACGGAAAGCCAAGAACCCUUGGGUUAAGGCUGAGAAAACCCUAGUCAGAAGCACAUUCCUUGAGAAAUUAGAGUAAUCCCUUAACCUGGAAAUGGCCUCAUAUUCUGAGAGUCCUGAGCUGGGUGUUCUCAUCCUCUUUGGAUUCAUUUGUCAUAUAAGCAGAGUCCCUUUGGCAAACUUCCCUGCAAUUAUUCCUCCAUAGAUGGUGGAUGGCUACCCUUGCCUCUGCCAAUGAUGUUGUCAUUAUUGGAGUGGGUCAAGCGUGGGCUCAUGCUCAUGUGAUUAGAGCUUGAUGUCUUCCAUCCAAACUGCAUCAUCUACUGGGCCUGCAUCCACGGGAAGGAAAGACCUGAGUACCUCCUGCGAGAAACUUUAGAUCUCAACUAGGGAUAGGGGUGUGCAUUACAAGGCUAGUCAUUUGCCUGAUUCUCCCUCCAUUUGAGGAUGAGUCCUUUCUCUGCCUUUUGGUGGCACACCAGGUUAGGCUGAAAAUAUGUCAGUUCCUGGAUGUGCCUGGGUCUGCAACUUUCUUCCUCAGACCCCUCACCUCUACAGAAAAUGCCAUACCUAAAUUCUAUGUUCAACACUGAUUGAUUUAAAAUCUAUCCAGACUUAAUAGAUUAUAACGAGUGUUCAUUAUUGUUUUGUUCAAUAACUAGAUAUUACAUGAAUAAUCAGAAGAGCCAAAGUACAGAUUCUUAAGCCAUUCUUCCCAGUAGCACCAUUUGGGGACCCUUUAAGCCCCUUGAUGCCUGGGGCACACCCAUGCUGAUUCAAUCAGAAUUCGGGGAGACAACUUGAAUGGUUGUUGUUAUUGUUGUUUUCCCUAAAUUCACUUAGUGAUUCCACUUAUGAUGAAGCCAGCAACCACUCUACUAAAGGAGCAUUUCCCAAACUUGAGUCAGUGUAGUCCUAUCCUGGAGUCUUGUUGAGUGAACUGCAAAUUCAAAUUCAGCAGGUCUACAGGGAGUCAGGUUCCUUACGAGCAUCUCUCGAGUGGUUAGUCUGGAAACCACCAUCUGAGAUUUGAGUAGUAAGGUUCCUCAAAGUGCCAGCGGGUCUUUGACGGUGAGCUAAGUGCCAGGGGGGAGGGAGAGCUGGAAAGAGCUGUGAGGACAGAGAGCUUCCAGGAAGACCCCGUCCCUUCACUGCACCCGGAAGACUCAAAAAAGAGAGCUUUGGGGACAUUUGACAGAGACUGAGAAAAGCCAGCCGUUGAUGACAAGUCUGCUCAUCAGACAUUAAGGUCAUAGCCUUGGUGUCAGAAAUCCCUGGCGUGAGGAUCUACUUUGGAGCAAUACUUCCAUUUUCCAAGAGAAUGCUGGGAUGCCUCAGUCUAUGAAUGACCCUGGACACAGCUUCCCUUUAAAAGCAAGGGAACCAGCAGAUGAUGUAAGAAGGGGAAGAGAAGCAUCUGGAAAAUGAAGAGAGGCUCUUGUCUCACCAGUGGUCUUUAAAUAAAUACGGGGAUGCUGGCUCAGAAAGAGCUCCCAGUGGAAAAAGCCUCUGAGCAGAUCCACCUCUUGUUGCAAGAAUGCCCUGCCACAACCCACCAAGGAUCAGGGGAAGAAGGCUGGGGCAGGUGGAGGGCUUGGGUGGGGUCAUGUCCCGUAUAGAAGCAUCUCACUGGCUGGACUCAGAAUGCACCUGUUGGGAGUGCGCAUGUUCCCUUCCGUGACCGGUUACAUAAUGUGUCUGUUGUCCAGGGCAGUGGGGACCACAGUGCUAGGCCUCAGAGAUGCAGAAGGGAGCAAGUCCCAGUUGUCUCUGAGUGGCUCCCCAGCAUUCACACUGAGAUGCAGUGUUUGGAGUUAGAGACAUUCACCACUGCACCAUGAGGACCAAGGAGGCAACAACUGAAGUUAGGACUGCCAUUGACUGUAGGCUGGGGUCUGGAAACUGUCACUGGGAUCUUUCUUCAUCUGUCCUUCAUUCUGAUUUACUGGCCCCUGCUUUUUUCUUCUUUUCACUCUUCUUCUUCUUCUUCUUCUUCUUCUUCUUCUUCUUCUUCUUCUUCUUCUUCUUCUUCUUCUUCU